This 492-nucleotide ribosomal RNA is filed under the name uncultured bacterium. RNAcentral describes it as "partial 16S ribosomal RNA". It matches the Rfam family "Bacterial small subunit ribosomal RNA", at positions 29 to 507 of the family's 1533-position model. The record is from RNAcentral.
AGUGAACGCUGGCGGUAGGCCUAACACAUGCAAGUCGAACGGCAGCACAGUAAGAGCUUGCUCUUACGGGUGGCGAGUGGCGGACGGGUGAGGAAUACAUCGGAAUCUACUUUUUCGUGGGGGAUAACGUAGGGAAACUUACGCUAAUACCGCAUACGACCUACGGGUGAAAGCAGGGGAUCUUCGGACCUUGCGCGAUUGAAUGAGCCGAUGUCGGAUUAGCUAGUUGGCGGGGUAAAAGCCCACCAAGGCGACGAUCCGUAGCUGGUCUGAGAGGAUGAUCAGCCACACUGGAACUGAGACACGGUCCAGACUCCUACGGGAGGCAGCAGUGGGGAAUGUUGGACAAUGGGCGCAAGCCUGAUCCAGCCAUACCGCGUGGGUGAAGAAGGCCUUCGGGUUGUAAAGCCCUUUUGUUGGGAAAGAAAAGCAGCAGGUUAAUACCCCGCUGUUCUGACGGUACCCAAAGAAUAAGCACCGGCUAACUUCGUG